Molecule: non-coding RNA, 26 nt
Filed under: Rattus norvegicus (Norway rat)
Lineage: Eukaryota; Metazoa; Chordata; Mammalia; Rodentia; Muridae
Source: RNAcentral
UGAUGAUGUGUGAUUUCUGUCGAGGG